Long non-coding RNA from Dipodomys ordii (Ord's kangaroo rat), 245 nucleotides. RefSeq lists it as uncharacterized. The transcript is spliced from 3 exons. Lineage: Eukaryota; Metazoa; Chordata; Mammalia; Rodentia; Heteromyidae. The record is from RefSeq and is a predicted model, not a curated record.
UAGGCCUGUUAAAUUGGCGUUCCAAUGCCCAGAGCAUCGAGCACAACCUCAAGAAGCUCAUGGAGGUGGAUGGAGGGGAGAUUGUUAAGUUCUUGCAAGAUACGCUGGAUGCACUUUUUAACAUCAUGAUGGAAAUGUCGGACAACGAAACGUACGACUCCCUUGUGUUUGACGCACUGGUGUUUAUUAUUUCACUGAUAGGAGACAUCAAGUUCCAGCAUUUUAAUCCUGUCCUCGAAACCUAC